AUUGAACGCUGGCGGCAGGCCUAACACAUGCAAGUCGAACGGUAACAGGAAACAGCUUGCUGUUUGGCUGACGAGUGGCGGACGGGUGAGUAAUGUCUGGGAAACUGCCUGAUGGAGGGGGAUAACUACUGGAAACGGUAGCUAAUACCGCAUAACGUCGCAAGACCAAAGAGGGGGACCCUCGGGCCUCUUGCCAUCGGAUGUGCCCAGAUGGGAUUAGCUUGUUGGUGGGGUAACGGCUCACCAAGGCGACGAUCCCUAGCUGGUCUGAGAGGAUGACCAGCCACACUGGAACUGAGACACGGUCCAGACUCCUACGGGAGGCAGCAGUGGGGAAUAUUGCACAAUGGGCGCAAGCCUGAUGCAGCCAUGCCGCGUGUAUGAAGAAGGCCUUCGGGUUGUAAAGUACUUUCAGCGGGGAGGAAGGGAGUAAAGUUAAUACCUUUGCUCAUUGACGUUACCCGCAGAAGAAGCACCGGCUAACUCCGUG
Molecule: ribosomal RNA, 490 nt
Filed under: uncultured bacterium
Lineage: Bacteria
Description: partial 16S ribosomal RNA
Rfam family: Bacterial small subunit ribosomal RNA
Source: RNAcentral